UUGACUGAGUGGCGGACGGGUGAGUAACGCGUGAGUAACCUACCUCGCAGUGGGGAAUAACAGUCGGAAACGACUGCUAAUACCGCAUAAUGCAGAGAGACCGCAUGAUCUUUUUGCCAAAGAUUUAUCGCUGUGAGAUGGACUCGCGUCUGAUUAGCUAGUUGGUGAGGUAAUGGCUCACCAAGGCGACGAUCAGUAGCCGGCUUGAGAGAGUGAUCGGCCACAUUGGGACUGAGACACGGCCCAAACUCCUACGGGAGGCAGCAGUGGGGAAUAUUGCACAAUGGGGGAAACCCUGAUGCAGCGACGCCGCGUGAGUGAAGAAGUAUUUCGGUAUGUAAAGCUCUAUCAGCAGGGAAGAAAAUGACGGUACCUGACUAAGAAGCCCCGGCUAACUACGUGCCAGCAGCCGCGGUAAUACGUAGGGGGCAAGCGUUAUCCGGAUUUACUGGGUGUAAAGGGAGCGUAGGUGGUGUGGUAAGUCAGAUGUGAAAGCCCAGGGCUCAACCCUGGGACUGCAUUUGAAACUGCCAUGCUUGAGUGCAGGAGAGGUAAGUGGAAUUCCUAGUGUAGCGGUGAAAUGCGUAGAUAUUAGGAGGAACACCAGUGGCGAAGGCGGCUUACUGGACUGUAACUGACACUGAGGCUCGAAAGCGUGGGGAGCAAACAGGAUUAGAUACCCUGGUAGUCCACGCGGUAAACGAUGAAUACUAGGUGUCGGGGGUCAAAAGACCUCCGGUGCCGCAGCUAACGCAAUAAGUAUUCCACCUGGGGAGUACGUUCGCAAGAAUGAA
RNAcentral lists this ribosomal RNA (794 nucleotides) under uncultured bacterium. Its description in RNAcentral is "bacterial SSU rRNA". It matches the Rfam family "Bacterial small subunit ribosomal RNA", at positions 87 to 898 of the family's 1533-position model. The record is from RNAcentral.